CGCCUGGGGAGUGCGGCCGCAAGGUUAAAACUCAAAUGAAUUGACGGGGGCCCGCACAAGCGGUGGAGCAUGUGGUUUAAUUCGACGCAACGCGAAGAACCUUACCUGGCCUUGACAUCCAGAGAACUUUCCAGAGAUGGAUUGGUGCCUUCGGGAACUCUGAGACAGGUGCUGCAUGGCCGUCGUCAGCUCGUGUCGUGAGAUGUUGGGUUAAGUCCCGUAACGAGCGCAACCCCUAUCCCUGGUUGCUAGCAGGUAAUGCUGGGAACUCCAGGGAGACUGCCGGUGACAAACCGGAGGAAGGUGGGGAUGACGUCAGGUCAUCAUGGCCCUUACGGCCAGGGCUACACACGUGCUACAAUGGCGCGUACAGAGGGCUGCCAACUCGCGAGAGUGAGCCAAUCCCUUAAAACGCGUCGUAGUCCGGAUCGGAGUCUGCAACUCGACUCCGUGAAGUCGGAAUCGCUAGUAAUCGCGAAUCAGAAUGUCGCGGUGAAUACGUUCCCGGGCCUUGUACACACCGCCCGUCACACCAUGGGAGUGGAUUGCACCAGAAGUAGUUAGUCUAACCUUCGGGAGGACGAUUACCACGGUGUGGUUCAUGACUGGGGUGAAGUCGUAACAAGGUAACCGUA
This 635-nucleotide ribosomal RNA is filed under the name uncultured Marinobacter sp. RNAcentral's name for it is "bacterial SSU rRNA". It matches the Rfam family "Bacterial small subunit ribosomal RNA", at positions 870 to 1504 of the family's 1533-position model. The record is from RNAcentral. Lineage: Bacteria; Pseudomonadati; Pseudomonadota; Gammaproteobacteria; Pseudomonadales; Marinobacteraceae.